GGCGAGAAGACUGAAGAUUGCCAUUUCUUUUCAUUGACACCUCUCUCUCUCUCUCUCUCUCUCUCACACACACACACACACACACACACAUAGACUCACACAGACACACACAAACCUGGCUGAGGAGCAGGCGCAGGGGAUGAGUCACUUUACACUCUCACAUGAAUCCCUCCUAUCAGGAUGAAGACAAGGGACCACACCUUAGAAAAAUCCAUUAAUCAAAACAAAUUACAGCAUAUGAAUAACAUCAAAGAAAGCCUGUGUGCACUGAAAUAAUAACACAGGAGCACGAACAUAGCAACAAUGACAUAGUAGGCAGCAAUGGUUGUAAGCAGCAGCAAGCAAUAAAGCUUGCUUGGUCAGAUCACACAACAGAGACCAGUGUUGGUUGGCUAGGAUUACCUUCAUCAUUUGAGCUUGGAUUUGACAAGGAAGUACAGCAAGAGGAAUUCAGACCUUCAUCAAAUAUAUCAUGCGUUGCUCAGACUUCAUCUCAAAGAGCUGUGAGAGAUACUGGCUUGUCUAUAGCCACCCAAAUGACUUCAUAACUAAGGGAAAUUUAAACUGGAAACUCUGCAGAUCACAAGCCUAGCUACUGCACUAUAUUAUUU
This is a long non-coding RNA of Hemicordylus capensis (graceful crag lizard), 611 nucleotides long. RefSeq lists it as uncharacterized. The record is from RefSeq and is a predicted model, not a curated record. NCBI's taxonomy places the organism in Eukaryota, Metazoa, Chordata, Lepidosauria, Squamata, Cordylidae. The transcript has 4 exons.